This 86-nucleotide ribosomal RNA is filed under the name Chitinophagaceae bacterium. The record is from RNAcentral. Lineage: Bacteria; Pseudomonadati; Bacteroidota; Chitinophagia; Chitinophagales; Chitinophagaceae.
CCUCUUCCCAUACCGAACAGAGAAGUUAAGCCCCUCAUGGCCGAUGGUACUGCACCACAAUGCGGGAGAGUAGGUAGCUGCCAUAU